This 253-nucleotide ribosomal RNA is filed under the name uncultured bacterium. RNAcentral describes it as "partial 16S ribosomal RNA". It matches the Rfam family "Bacterial small subunit ribosomal RNA", at positions 524 to 776 of the family's 1533-position model. The record is from RNAcentral.
UACGUAGGUGGCAUGCGUUGUCCGGAAUUAUUGGGCGUAAAGCGCGCGCAGGCGGUCCUUUAAGUCUGAUGUGAAAGCCCACGGCUCAACCGUGGAGGGUCAUUGGAAACUGGGGGACUUGAGUGCAGAAGAGGAAAGCGGAAUUCCACGUGUAGCGGUGAAAUGCGUAGAGAUGUGGAGGAACACCAGUGGCGAAGGCGGCUUUCUGGUCUGUAACUGACGCUGAGGCGCGAAAGCGUGGGGAGCAAACAGG